This 90-nucleotide non-coding RNA is filed under the name Oceanobacillus oncorhynchi. RNAcentral's name for it is "Glycine sequence". It matches the Rfam family "Glycine riboswitch aptamer". From Rfam's summary of the family: This family represents the bacterial glycine riboswitch. Glycine riboswitches usually consist of two metabolite-binding aptamers domains with similar structures in tandem. The record is from Rfam by way of RNAcentral. Lineage: Bacteria; Bacillati; Bacillota; Bacilli; Caryophanales; Bacillaceae.
AUGAAUACAAGGGGAGAGCUUACAGUUUAUGUAACGCCGAAGGAGCAAGUUAAGAGCGAAUCUCUCAGGCAAAAAGACUCUUGUAGGACG